This 481-nucleotide ribosomal RNA is filed under the name uncultured Glomus. RNAcentral's name for it is "SSU rRNA". It matches the Rfam family "Eukaryotic small subunit ribosomal RNA", at positions 569 to 1056 of the family's 1831-position model. Lineage: Eukaryota; Fungi; Glomeromycota; Glomeromycetes; Glomerales; Glomeraceae. The record is from RNAcentral.
AGCAGCCGCGGUAAUUCCAGCUCCAAUAGCGUAUAUUAAAGUUGUUGCAGUUAAAAGCUCGUAGUUGAAUUUCGGAAUCAGUACGCUGGUCGUGCCUUCGGUAUGUACUGGUGUCACUGAUUCCUCCCUUCUGAAGAACCAUCAUGCCAUUCACUUGGUGUGGUGGGGAAUCAGGACUGUUACUUUGAAAAAUUAGAGUGUUUAAAGCAGGCUAACGCUUGAAUACAUUAGCAUGGAAUAAUGAAAUAGGACGUUCGAUCUUAUUUUGUUGGUUUCUAGGAUUGACGUAAUGAUUAAUAGGGAUAGUUGGGGGCAUUAGUAUUCAAUUGUCAGAGGUGAAAUUCUUGGAUUUAUUGAAGACUAACUACUGCGAAAGCAUUUGCCAAGGAUGUUUUCAUUAAUCAAGAACGAAGUUAGGGGAUCGAAGACGAUCAGAUACCAUCGUAGUCUUAACCAUAAAACUAUGCCGACUAGGGAUCGG